UUGCUUGUUNUCAAAGAUUAAGCCAUGCAUGUCUAAGUACAGGCCUACCCAAGGCGAAACCGCAAAAGGCUCAUUAAAUCAGUCAUGAUUCAAUGGAUGUUGUUAUAAACUUUUACUUGGAUAACUGUGGUAAUUCUAGAGCUAAUACGUGCAAUCGAGCUCCGACCCUGCCGUCAAAGGCGGGGGAAGGGCGCUUUUAUUAGAUUCAAAACCGAGCGGACUGCGGUCCGUCUCCCAUAAAGAGCUGUGAUGACUCUGAAUAACCUAGCCGAGCGCUGAGGCCUUCGAGCCGGCGCCGUAUCCUACGAGUGUCUGCCUUAUCAGCUGUCGAUUGUAGGUUAUACGCCUACAAUGGCUGUAACGGGUAACGGGGAAUCGGGGUUCGAUUCCGGAGAGGGAGCCUGAGAAACGGCUACCACAUCUAAGGAAGGCAGCAGGCACGCAAAUUACCCACUCCCGGCACGGGGAGGUAGUGACGAAAAAUAACGAUGCGGGACUCUUCCGAGGCCUCGCAAUCGGAAUGAGUUUACCCUAAACACUUGGACGAGGAUCCAUUGGAGGGCAAGUCUGGUGCCAGCAGCCGCGGUAAUUCCAGCUCCAAUAGCGUAUAUUAAAGUUGUUGNNNNNNNNNNNUUUAGAGUGGCUCAAAGCAGGCAAUAACUAACGCCUGAAUGUCGAUGCAUGGAAUGAAGGAACAGGACCUCGGUUCUGCAUUUUUUCUCGGUUUUCCGAACCCGAGGUAAUGAUUAACGGGAACGGACGGGGGCAUUAGUAUUGCGACGCUAGAGGUGAAAUUCUUGGACCGUCGCAAGACUAACUACUGCGAAAGCAUUUGCCAAGAACGCUUUCAUUAGUCAAGAACGAAAGUUAGAGGAUCGAAGGCGAUCAGAUACCGCCCUAGUUCUAACCUUAAACGAUGCUAACUGGCGAUCCGCUUACGUCAUUCCCACGACUGAGCGGGGAGCCCCCGGGAAACCAAAGUCUUUGAGUUCCGGGGGAAGUAUGGUUGCAAAGCUGAAACUUAAAGGAAUUGACGGAAGGGCACCACCAGGAGUGGAGCCUGCGGCUUAAUUUGACUCAACACGGGGAACCUCACCAGGCCCGGACACCGGAAGGAUUGACAGAUUGAGAGCUCUUUCUCGAUUCGGUGGGUGGUGGUGCAUGGCCGUUCUUAGUUGGUGGAGCGAUCUGUCUGGUUGAUUCCGAUAACGAACGAGACUCUACCCUGCUAACUAGUCGGUGGAUCGUCUCCCGAGACGGGUCCUACCCGGGGCGUUUUGGCGUGUGGGGCGGCCUUCCGUCCGCGGCGUUCUUCCGUUCGCGCUUGGCUUGUUACCGGCGUCGUCCGUCGCCUUCUCCCAAUGUCGUCGCCGCCGGCGCUCGCGUUUCCCUUCACGGGGUUACGCGGGUUAGUCGACGGGGGCGGCUUGGGGGUGGGAAUCACGGCUGGCUGGCGUCGGGGCUCCAGGACGUGUAGCGGGCCAAAAGGCGUCGCGGGUCGCGGGAUGGUCGCGCCCGCGUCGGGGUUCCGUGCGUAGGGCCCAGCGAGGGGCGUCCAUCGCAGCAUCUUCUUAGAGGGAUCGGCGGCGUCCAGCCGCACGAGAGAGAGCAAUAACAGGUCUGUGAUGCCCUUAGAUGUUCUGGGCCGCACGCGCGCUACAAUGAAGGGAUCAGCGUGCUCUCCCCCUCCGAAAGGAGCGGGUAACCCGAUGAAACCCCUUCCCGAUUGGGAUUGGGGAUUGUAAGUGUUUCCCAUGAACGAGGAAUUCCCAGUAAGCGCAAAGUCAUCAGCUUGCGAUGAUUACGUCCCUGCCCUUUGUACACACCGCCCGUCGCUACUACCGAUUGGAAUGAUUCAGUGAGGGCAUCC
This 1870-nucleotide ribosomal RNA is filed under the name Gnorimosphaeroma oregonense. Its description in RNAcentral is "SSU rRNA". It matches the Rfam family "Eukaryotic small subunit ribosomal RNA". Lineage: Eukaryota; Metazoa; Arthropoda; Malacostraca; Isopoda; Sphaeromatidae. The record is from RNAcentral.